This 459-nucleotide ribosomal RNA is filed under the name uncultured bacterium. RNAcentral's name for it is "partial 16S ribosomal RNA". It matches the Rfam family "Bacterial small subunit ribosomal RNA", at positions 338 to 795 of the family's 1533-position model. The record is from RNAcentral.
CCUACGGGGGGCUGCAGUGAGGAAUAUUGGUCAAUGGCCGGAAGCCUGAACCAGCCAAGCCGCGUGAAGGACGAAGGUGCCAAGCAUUGUAAACUUCUUUUGUCAAGGGACAAAAUCAGGCUCGAGAGCCUGACCGAGGGUACUUGAAGAAAAAGCAUCGGCUAACUCCGUGCCAGCAGCCGCGGUAAUACGGAGGAUGCGAGCGUUAUCCGGAUUUAUUGGGUUUAAAGGGUGCGUAGGCGGACUGUUAAGUCAGCGGUAAAAGCCCGGGGCUCAACCCCGGCGAGCCGUUGAUACUGGCUGUCUUGAGAUGUCGAGAGGUAUGCGGAAUGCGCAGUGUAGCGGUGAAAUGCUUAGAUAUUGCGCAGAACUCCGAUUGCGAAGGCAGCAUACCGGCGGCGAUCUGACGCUGAGGCACGAAAGCGUGGGUAUCGAACAGGAUUAGAUACCCGGGUAGUC